GACGGAGGAUGCAAGCGUUAUCCGGAAUGAUUGGGCGUAAAGCGUCCGCAGGUGGCAGUUCAAGUCUGCUGUCAAAGACCGGGGCUUAACUUCGGAAAGGCAGUGGAAACUGAACAGCUAGAGUAUGGUAGGGGCAGAGGGAAUUCCUGGUGUAGCGGUGAAAUGCGUAGAUAUCAGGAAGAACAUCGGUGGCGAAGGCGCUCUGCUGGACCAUAACUGACACUCAGGGACGAAAGCGAGGGGAGCGAAUGGG
RNAcentral lists this ribosomal RNA (253 nucleotides) under uncultured bacterium. RNAcentral describes it as "partial 16S ribosomal RNA". It matches the Rfam family "Bacterial small subunit ribosomal RNA", at positions 524 to 776 of the family's 1533-position model. The record is from RNAcentral.